Molecule: ribosomal RNA, 742 nt
Filed under: uncultured bacterium
Lineage: Bacteria
Description: bacterial SSU rRNA
Rfam family: Bacterial small subunit ribosomal RNA
Source: RNAcentral
GACGGAGAUCUCGGUGCUUGCCCGGGUGAUCAGUGGCGAACGGGUGAGUAACACGUGACUAACCUGCCCCCGACUCUGGGAUAACCCCGGGAAAUCGGAGCUAAUACCGGAUACGAGACGCACAGGCAUCUGCAGCGUCUGGAAAGAAUUUCGGUCGGGGAUGGAGUCGCGGCCUAUCAGCUAGUUGGUGAGGUAAUGGCCCACCAAGGCGACGACGGGUAGCCGGCCUGAGAGGGCGACCGGCCACACUGGGGACUGAGACACGGCCCAGACUCCUACGGGAGGCAGCAGUGGGGAAUAUUGCACAAUGGGCGAAAGCCUGAUGCAGCGACGCCGCGUGGGGGAUGAAGGCCUUCGGGUUGUAAACCCCUUUCAGCAGGGAAGAAGCGAAAGUGACGGUACCUGCAGAAGAAGCGCCGGCUAACUACGUGCCAGCAGCCGCGGUAAUACGUAGGGCGCAAGCGUUGUCCGGAUUUAUUGGGCGUAAAGAGCUCGUAGGCGGUUUGUCGCGUCUGCUGUGAAAACCCGAGGCUCAACCUCGGGCCUGCAGUGGGUACGGGCAGACUAGAGUGCGGUAGGGGAGACCGGAAUUCCUGGUGUAGCGGUGGAAUGCGCAGAUAUCANGAGGAACACCGAUGGCGAAGGCAGGUCUCUGGGCCGCAACUGACGCUGAGGAGCGAAAGCAUGGGGAGCGAACAGGAUUAGAUACCCUGGUAGUCCAUGCCGUAACGUUGGGCACUAG